This 377-nucleotide ribosomal RNA is filed under the name uncultured organism. Its description in RNAcentral is "partial 16S ribosomal RNA". It matches the Rfam family "Bacterial small subunit ribosomal RNA", at positions 527 to 896 of the family's 1533-position model. The record is from RNAcentral.
GUAGGUGGCAAGCGUUGUCCGGAUUUACUGGGGCGUAAAGGGGCGUGCAGGCGGGUUCGUUAAGUUCGAGGUGAAAGCUCCCGGCUCAACUGGGAGAGGUCCCCCCCGGAUACUGGCGGACUUGAGGGAGGUAGAGGAAAGUGGAAUUCCCGGUGUAGUGGUGAUAUGCGUAGAUAUCGGGAGGAACACCAGUGGCGAAGGCGGCUUUCUGGGCCUUACCUGACGCUGAGACGCGAAAGCGUGGGGAGCGAACCGGAUUAGAUACCCGGGUAGUCCACGCCGUAAACGAUGGACACUAGGUGUGGGGGGUAUCGACCCCCUCCGUGCCGAAGCCAACGCGAUAAGUGUCCCGCCUGGGGAGUACGGCCGCAAGGCUA